Mus musculus (house mouse) is the source of this 1335-nucleotide long non-coding RNA. RefSeq annotates it as predicted gene, 53617. NCBI's taxonomy places the organism in Eukaryota, Metazoa, Chordata, Mammalia, Rodentia, Muridae. The transcript is spliced from 4 exons. The record is from RefSeq and is a predicted model, not a curated record.
UGGCAACAUGUUCUUAAAAACCUUAGCUCAAUGUGGCUUGGACUCUACCAUGGAAUCUUAAAAUUGUACUUUGGGAAAAAAACAAACAAACUUCAAAGUGCUCCCUACACCAAAAUUAUCUCCAGACCAAUCUUCUGCUCACACACACCUUGUAAACAUCAGUCUCCAGGUGGCGACAGAUUGGUUGCCAAUGGAUUCAUCUGUUCUACCGCUUCUCAAUUCUAUUUUAAGAUCACUAUGCUAUGUAGCCUGUCACACAGAGGAACAGCUGAUGCCAUUUCUAAUGUUAGGGUCAAGUUAUUCCUAAGUCAGAGGUCAUUCUCAAGCCCGAGGCUUCAGACUCGGUGUGAAGCUAUUUCUGAAGUACUUCAUCUUCUGAUGGAAACCAUCACAGAGAACCACAACUAAUCAAAAUGCAGAGUUCGGGAGCUCAGACCCAGGGGAUGCAUCUACUUCCACACUGACAGCUCAGGGGACAUUGCAGAUGACGGAGCAGAAAGAUGGCAAGGCCAGAACAUCAGAAGUGUGCUGUGAGACCAUCCCCAUGGUAAUGCCACAGGCUGCACCCACAAAGUCUCACCUAACUAUCACCUGGACAAAGAUAACAUCGUGGACAUGCCAAAGUGGAUGGAGGCAGCUCACAAGACCUCCACUCCACACAAAGGGCUGCAGGCACCUAAGGGAAGCUGAGAGCAGGAGAAACAGCCUUCCCCAGGGAAGAGCUCACCAACUAGUUAUCCACUACCAAGUGGUCAGGCCCCAAAACAAACAUACAAGUUUACCAGGUGUUUUCCACUGAGUGUGCACAGUGAAUGGACAAUAGGAUGGACUAUCCCAGGCAUGGAUCCAGAUGGAAAUCUCUAAUUAGAAAUACAGUGGCCAUCUGCGAUCUUACCUCUGCCGACCUUGUAGGCCUGGGAUGGUUCUGGCCCCUCCCCUUGCCUCACAGAAUUCUGCCGGUCUAGAACUGUUCUAAGAAGCACCCUGAAGUCUCUGCCUGGACUGUUUCUCUGCCUGGACACGUCCCGCUCUUUCACCCCACCAUCACCCUCCUUCAUUUCCAGAAAACAUGGGACUUCCUCAGUACACUCUCCUUUUCCUAAUUUCAUUCACGGCAACUCCAGCUAUAAGGUUUAUGGCAUUGGCAUCAUUAGUUGGACAUUGUCUACCCUUGAAGACCCGUGUUGCUCUCGGAAAUCUGGGAGUUUAUUUACAACUAACAUGCCAUGAACAUGGUAUGAAUACAUGGUAGAAAAAGUUGAUAUGAAGAAUGUUUAAAUAAAUGAAUAGCUUUACAUUUUGUUCCAUUCAUCCUGCGGUUCUCAAGUUUAGAAA